Molecule: ribosomal RNA, 304 nt
Filed under: uncultured Sphingomonas sp.
Lineage: Bacteria; Pseudomonadati; Pseudomonadota; Alphaproteobacteria; Sphingomonadales; Sphingomonadaceae
Description: bacterial SSU rRNA
Rfam family: Bacterial small subunit ribosomal RNA
Source: RNAcentral
GCUAACGCGUGGGAAUCUGCCCUUGGGUUCGGAAUAACAUCGGGAAACUGAUGCUAAUACCGGAUGAUGUCGAUAAGACCAAAGAUUUAUCGCCCAGGGAUGAGCCCGCGUAGGAUUAGCUAGUUGGUGGGGUAAAGGCUUACCAAGGCGACGAUCCUUAGCUGGUCUGAGAGGAUGAUCAGCCACACUGGGACUGAGACACGGCCCAGACUCCUACGGGAGGCAGCAGUAGGGAAUAUUGGACAAUGGGCGCAAAGCUUGAUCCAGCAAUGCCGCGUGAGUGAUGAAGGCCUUAGGGUUGUAA